This 74-nucleotide transfer RNA is filed under the name Cucumis melo (muskmelon). It matches the Rfam family "tRNA". Rfam says of the family: Transfer RNA (tRNA) molecules are approximately 80 nucleotides in length. Their secondary structure includes four short double-helical elements and three loops (D, anti-codon, and T loops). RNAcentral also lists the same sequence under 1 other name. Lineage: Eukaryota; Viridiplantae; Streptophyta; Magnoliopsida; Cucurbitales; Cucurbitaceae. The record is from Rfam by way of RNAcentral.
GUGCUCUUAGUUCAAUUCAGUAGAACGUAGGUCUCCAAAACUCGAUGUCGUAGGUUCAAAUCCUAUAGAGUGUG